UGGUGGCGUGUCUUAUACAUGCAAGUCGAGCGAGGCAGCAAUGCCGAGCCCGAACGGGUGAGUAACGCGUAAGCAAUCUGCCCCAUAUCAGGAAAUACCCGUGCCAACGCGCGGUUAAUGUCCAGGAGAGUGGCCUUCUGCAUGGAAGGUUGACUAGAGAUUUAUCGGUAUGGGAUGAGCUUGCGUCCGAUUAGCUAGUUGGCGGGGCAACGGCCCACCAAGGCGACGAUCGGUAGCCGGCCGAGAGGGUGAUCGGCCACAUUGGGACUGAGAUACGGCCCAGACUCCUACGGGAGGCAGCAGUAGGGAAUAUUGCACAAUGGGGGAAACCCUGAUGCAGCAACGCCACGUGUGGGAAGAACAUUUCGGUGUGUAAACCACUGUCAUGAGGGAAUAAGCCCGCUACGGACGGGAUUGAAUGUACCUUGAGAGAAGCACCGGCAAACUCGUGCCAGCAGCCGCGGUAAUACGAGGGGUGCAACGUUGUUCGGAAUUACUGGCGUAAAGGGAGCGUAGGCGAGAUUCAAGCGGAUUGUACAAUCCCGGGGCCCACCCCGGCUCUGCAUCCGAACUGGAUCUCUUGGAUAGUUCAGGGGGCAGGCGGAAUUCCUGGGUAGCGGUGGAAUGCGUAGAGAUCAGGAAGAACACCGAUGGCGAAGGCGCCUGCUGGGGACUCAUCGACGCUGAGGCUCGAAAGUGCGGGUAGCAAACAGGAUUAGAUACCCUGGUAGUCCGCACCGUAAACAAUGCAUACUGGGUGUCCGGGGGUUCCCCCGGUACCGUAGCCAACGCGUUAAGUAUGCGCCUGGGGAGUACGUACGCAAGUAUGAAAUCAAAGGAAUUGACGGGGGCCCGCACAAGCGGUGGAGCAUGUGGUUUAAUUCGAAGCAACGCGCAGAACCUUACCAGGGUUUGACAUGGGAACCCGCGGCGAGAGAUCGCCGUUUUGCAGCAAUGCAACGUUCCGCACAGGUGUGCAUGGCUGUCGUCCAGCUCGUGUCGUGAGAUGUUGGGUUAAGUCCCGCAACGAGCGCAACCCACGUUUCCAGUUGCCACCCCAAGGGGCCCUCUGGAGAGACUGCCGGGGACAACCCGAGGAAGGUGUGGAUGACGUCAAGUCCUCAUGGCCCUUACAUCCUGGGCUACACACGUGCUACAAUGGUCGGUACAUGGGUCGCAACAUCGCGAGAUGGAGCCAAUCUCAAAGCCGUCCUCAGUUCGGAUCGGAGUCUGCAACUCGACUCCGUGAAGCUGGAAUCGCUAGUAUCGUGGGUCAGCACACCACGGUGAAU
RNAcentral lists this ribosomal RNA (1292 nucleotides) under Fibrobacter succinogenes. Its description in RNAcentral is "bacterial SSU rRNA". It matches the Rfam family "Bacterial small subunit ribosomal RNA", at positions 37 to 1367 of the family's 1533-position model. The record is from RNAcentral. Lineage: Bacteria; Pseudomonadati; Fibrobacterota; Fibrobacteria; Fibrobacterales; Fibrobacteraceae.